AUUGAACGCUGGCGGCAGGCCUAACACAUGCAAGUCGAACGGUAACAGGAAAAAGCUUGCUUCUUUGCUGACGAGUGGCGGACGGGUGAGUAAUGUCUGGGAAACUGCCUGAUGGAGGGGGAUAACUACUGGAAACGGUAGCUAAUACCGCAUAAUGUCGCAAGACCAAAGAGGGGGACCUUCGGGCCUCUUGCCAUCGGAUGUGCCCAGAUGGGAUUAGCUAGUAGGUGGGGUAACGGCUCACCUAGGCGACGAUCCCUAGCUGGUCUGAGAGGAUGACCAGCCACACUGGAACUGAGACACGGUCCAGACUCCUACGGGAGGCAGCAGUGGGGAAUAUUGCACAAUGGGCGCAAGCCUGAUGCAGCUAUGCCGCGUGUAUGAAGAAGGCCUUCGGGUUGUAAAGUACUUUCAGCGGGGAGGAAGGGAGUAAAGUUAAUACCUUUGCUCAUUGACGUUACCCGCAGAAGAAGCACCGGCUAACUCCGUG
Molecule: ribosomal RNA, 490 nt
Filed under: uncultured bacterium
Lineage: Bacteria
Description: partial 16S ribosomal RNA
Rfam family: Bacterial small subunit ribosomal RNA
Source: RNAcentral